UACGUAGGGGGCAAGCGUUGUCCGGAGUUACUGGGCGUAAAGCGCUCGCAGGCGGUGCGAUGCGUCGGCAGUGCCAGCUUCUCGCUAAACGGGAGGAGUGCUGCCGAAACGGUCACACUUGAGGGUCAGAGAGGGACAUGGAACUCCGGGUGGAGUGGUGAAAUGCGUAGAGAUCCGGAAGAACACCAAAGGCGAAGGCAGUGUCCUGGCUGACAUCUGACGCUGAGGAGCGAGAGCUAGGGGAGCGAACAGG
Molecule: ribosomal RNA, 253 nt
Filed under: uncultured Ktedonobacter sp.
Lineage: Bacteria; Bacillati; Chloroflexota; Ktedonobacteria; Ktedonobacterales; Ktedonobacteraceae
Description: partial 16S ribosomal RNA
Rfam family: Bacterial small subunit ribosomal RNA
Source: RNAcentral